CUCCAAAGAGAUCAAGAUCAAAUCUGGUGAAAGGCGAGGAGGGGAGCGCGUGUGUUUGGGGUGGGGAACAAUGAAAUCUUCCUAAAUCGUGCCAAAUCGUCGCAUUGAACUCGACUUGCGCGACGCGGGGCCCUGAGCGCGUCCCCGAGGUCCGAUUGGAGAGAGAGAGAGAGAGAGAGAGAGAGAGAGAGAGUGCGCACGGGAGCGCGCCUGUGAGCGGCAUUUUAAGUAGAAGGGAGAGAGAGAGAGAGGAGAAGGGAGGGAAAGGAGGAGGAGAGGGAGAGGAGGGUUAUUAUUCAAGAGUGCUGCAGUCAGACGGGCUGCAAGAGGAGGAGAAAAAAAAGGAGAAGGAGGUGGGAGAUCAGUCAAUCGGAGGCUUAUGCGCUUCACAUCUUUCCUCUUUUCUGUGUGUUUUGCAGGAGAGGACGGAUCGGAGGAGGAGAGGAGGAGAUGGAUGGAGCGGUUGGAGAGGAGGAGAUGAGCGCCCUAAGGUACGGCUACACCUCUGCUUCUACAAUCAUUUAUCUCCAAAAGUAUCGUGUAAGCUUCUUAAAAAGCGAACCGUCUCCUUUUCUGUGGGAAUAUUUCUUUAUUCAUUCACGUGCGAUGGGCUGAGUUUUCAGUGGCCGCGUGGCGCGGCGCGCCCGCCGCUCCCGUGACACCCAUGAGGAGGAGGAGGAGGAGGGGGAGGAGGAAGAGGGGGAGUCGCACCUGAAACCCGACAGUGUUCGGCCUCACCGGAAGCGUCACCUCUGGUUUCCUCUUGCAACAGGACAGCCCGAGAUAAAAAGGAAAGAGGGGAGAUAACACGCUACAAAGGACCACAGGCUGGAGUCGAACCCACGUCACUGCAGCAAGGACUUAACCUUUGUACACGGGGGGCACAUGUUGAGCUACCUGGGGCUCCGCCUGCCAAGAAAUAUUAAUAACUCUUGAUGUAAAUAAUUCUUCACAUAGAAGAUGUAUUCAUUAGAACUCAAAGACACACAGUCUGACUGAUACUCAUCCUCUUUUGUUGAUUCCAAACGAUAUGACUGCAAAGACUCUUUUAUCUGUCAGUAGUACUUUAUUUUGAACACAUUCAUAGCGUACCUCAUGUAGUAAUUAGUAAAUAUUAAUAUGCAGUGCCAAAGAGCAAAUUAAUUAUACAGGGGAAACGUUAUAAUCAGCACAUUUUCCUAUGAAGUUUGGUACGUCACAGUCCUUAUUAUGCAUAAUUAUGCUGCUUUGUGCAAGUUAUGUGUUAAUAGUUCUAAACAGAAACAUUCCAACUCAAGCAGAUGUUGAGUUUGAAUAAUUUUCCCCCUAAAAAAAACACUGAGCCUUCUACUACGUCCAGUGCACAAUCACAACACUGCAUCACACCAAAGAAACAGUUCAGUAUUUGCAGCGCGUUGUGUCGGAGAGCUUCACAAAAAGCCAACCAAAGCUCCACUGUACCGUACGAUGUUUAAUGUGAUUCAUUGAACUGCAGGUUAUCUUGAUAAUGACAUUCCUGUUCUGGAAAGUGCCUAAUUGAACGUCGUGUAUCAUCUUCGACCAUGAUAAUUUCACGUUUGACGGACAUGCCGUGACAGCCGAUCUAUCGUACGGGACGGUGCACGACGUCUGAAGAGUGAAUCGUAAAUGCAUUUAUGAUGCUUUUAGAAAAAAAAAAAUAAAACAUCCACAAAGCCAGCUGGCAAUCAAGGCUCCUUCAAACUGUAAGUUAUCAUGUUUUGAUGGAACAUUCAGUCUCAAUUACGUCUCGUCCGGCUGAAUCCAGCAGCUCCAUCUCGCUCGAUUGAUUGAUUCGGGGUAAUGUAUGCAGACUGGGGUGUGGUUGUGUUCUCAUGAGUGUCUUCAGAAGAAAGCCCGGACACCUGCAUUAAAAGAGCAAAAUUAAAGCAUUCCCCCCACAGCAUGUGUAGAUUAAUACAUGGGGCUAUGAGAGUGUGUGUGUGUGUGUGUGUGUGUAUGUACGAGCGUGCUGAUAUUUGACAGGCUUGGAUAUGUUCCUACACUGGCUGUGAGUGGCCUGAGGGAAGCAGGCCUACUAGAGAAUGAGCCAGACAGUUGGCAAGGCCUCUGCUUCCGUCUCAGCUGUCAUUGGUAGUCUGGCCAUGUGGCUGAGACACUGCUUCCUGUGUCCAAACACUGGGGGGAAAAGAAAACCUGAAUGUCGUGUGCUCUAAUCCCAUUUGUUGGAUUAAAAUAAAGCUUUUUAAUAUGUUUAAAAAGGGAGUUCGUGUGUCGCAUCCCCUCAUUUGCUCUUUGUUUUUGUCCCUUACAGUCACUGUGAAUGCUGGGAAUGUCUCCUGUGCUGAAAAGUUUAGUGUUUGGUGUGUUGCCCCCAUCUGGACGGAAAAGCAACUGCGCCUCAUUUCAUGGAGACAGGUAGGUGAACGCUGCUCAGGUGAGGCUUCUUCAUUCCAGUUCAUUUUUUUUUUUCAUUAGUUGCGUGGCACGUCGCCACGUUCCCUGAUCAAUGGCUUUUUGGAUCACACACACCUGUUGUCCUGCUGAAGCUGUUUGCCAGCAAUGAAAGAAAAAGUGAUAUUGAUGCAAAUCUGAUCCAGCCAAGAAAGCCAAAUUAUUUCUCUUUUACGGAAACAAAUGAAAAGUCAAUUAUUUCACAAUGAGUCUGUGAAAGUUGAGGUGUUUCUUUUCUUUCGUUCAAAUUCUAUUUAGUGGGGUAAAUGAUUUAAGUCAGGACCACAAGUUUAUUGUUUCAUCCGGUUGAGAGGAAAGAGAAGAUGAUGCAAAUGUUGCUUAUAAUGCAUUGUGUUUUGACCUGGGUUUUGUCCCACAGGCUACAACCAGCCCUAACCUGAUAGGUGAAGGAUCUGCCUAAAGCCCAAAACAAAGACUGCAGACACAUGGC
This is a long non-coding RNA of Larimichthys crocea (large yellow croaker), 2863 nucleotides long. RefSeq lists it as uncharacterized. NCBI's taxonomy places the organism in Eukaryota, Metazoa, Chordata, Actinopteri, Sciaenidae. The transcript has 2 exons. The record is from RefSeq and is a predicted model, not a curated record.